GACGAACGCUGGCGGCGUGCUUAACACAUGCAAGUCGUACGGUAAGGCCCUUUCGGGGGUACACGAGUGGCGAACGGGUGAGUAACACGUGAGUAACCUGCCCACAACUUUGGGAUAACGCUAGGAAACUGGUGCUAAUACUGGAUAUGUGCUCCUGCUGCAUGGUGGGGGUUGGAAAGCUCCGGCGGUUGUGGAUGGACUCGCGGCCUAUCAGCUUGUUGGUGGGGUAGUGGCCUACCAAGGCGGCGACGGGUAGCCGGCCUGAGAGGGUGACCGGCCACAUUGGGACUGAGAUACGGCCCAGACGCCUACGGGAGGCAGCAGUGGGGAAUAUUGCACAAGGGGCGCAAGCCGGAUGCAGCAACGCCGCGGGCGGGAUGACGGCCUUCGGGUUGUAAACCGCUUUCAGCAGGGACGAAGCUUUUUGUGACGGUACCUGCAGAAGAAGCACCGGCUAACUACGUG
Molecule: ribosomal RNA, 465 nt
Filed under: uncultured bacterium
Lineage: Bacteria
Description: partial 16S ribosomal RNA
Rfam family: Bacterial small subunit ribosomal RNA
Source: RNAcentral